UACGUAGGGGGCGAGCGUUGUCCGGAUUCAUUGGGCGUAAAGCGCGCGUAGGCGGCCCCGCAAGUCGGCCGUGAAAUCUCCGGGCUCAACUCGGAGGGGUCGGGCGAGACUGCGGGGCUCGAGGUGGGCAGAGGGCAGUGGAAUUCCGGGUGUAGUGGUGGAAUGCGUAGAGAUCCGGAGGAACACCAGUGGCGAAGGCGGCUGCCUGGGCCUGGCCUGACGCUGAGGCGCGAAAGCGUGGGGAGCAAUCCG
This 252-nucleotide ribosomal RNA is filed under the name uncultured bacterium. RNAcentral describes it as "partial 16S ribosomal RNA". It matches the Rfam family "Bacterial small subunit ribosomal RNA", at positions 524 to 775 of the family's 1533-position model. The record is from RNAcentral.